This is a long non-coding RNA of Myiozetetes cayanensis, 951 nucleotides long. RefSeq lists it as uncharacterized. The transcript has 4 exons. The record is from RefSeq and is a predicted model, not a curated record. NCBI's taxonomy places the organism in Eukaryota, Metazoa, Chordata, Aves, Passeriformes, Tyrannidae.
UCUUUUGUUUCCCUGCAGGGCGAGCCGGAGCCCGGGAUGCCGCAUGACCGGGGCCAGGCCGGCGAUGGGGGCUCCUGCCCGGGGGGCGCCGCAGGGACUGAGGCCCUGCCGGGACUGAGGCCCUGCCGGUGGGGAGCGGACACUGUGAAGGCAGAGACAGGAGGUUGAGCCUGAAGUGAAGGCUGCAGCUGGCAGUGAUGGUGUGGUGAGGGCAGUUGUCUGUUUUGCUCCACUAUGCUUGCACUCUAGCAAAUAAUGGACACUGUGAAGGCAGAGACAGGGCUGAGCCUCUGGGAGACCUGAAGUGAAGGCUGGCAGUGAUGGUGUGGUGAGGGCAGUUGUCUGUUUUGUUCCACUAUGCUUGCCCUCUGACAGGGGAGAAUGGUUGAGAUUUGUCAGAAGUUGUCCUGGGCCCUGCUGGGGUUUCGGUGUUCUGCUAAUGAAGACGGAUGCUUCUGCUCCUGUGCUGCUGCCUCGGAUCCUCGUCCAAGCCACAGUAUUCACAUCACCCUGUGACAGCUCUGGCCUUUCCUCAGAGCUGGCGGGAGUGAUGAAUUGGUGUCCUGCCAGCUUAGAUGGAGGGUGUUACAUUUUUUGUCCCCUGGGUACAAGGCAUGUAACUGGAAUGGAUUCUGGAACUUGCUGCAUGUUUAAUGCAGUUGGAUGCUUUGUCUGCAGGGGCUGCAUUCCCUGCCUGACAGCUCCUGUUAUCCUGGCCCCGCCAUUACAAGCAAGGAAGGCUCUCUCUGGAGCAGUGACAAGUACGGGAGGAGGGCCUUGGGUGUCAGGAGAGGAGUCAGGGCUUGGCUUUCCCCUGCCAUCCAGAAAGCUUUAGUGGUUCAUCUCUGGCAGCCUGUGAACUGAGGAGGGGGUGUCUGGGAUGCUGCAGCACAGUGUGGUUUUGUACUGUAUAGAGCCUGCUUAAUAAAAUCUGAAUACUGGGUGAACUUA